CCCUUAGAUGUUCUGGGCCGCACGCGCGCUACACUGACGAAGUCAGCGAGCAUCUCCUACGCCGAAAGGUGCGGGGAAUCUUGUGAAACUUUGUCGUGCUGGGGAUUGAUUUUUGAAAUUCUUGAUCAUCAACGAGGAAUUCCUAGUAAGCGCAAGUCAGCAGCUUGCGUUGAUUACGUCCCUGCCCUUUGUACACACCGCCCGUCGCUACUACCGAUUGAAUGGUUUAGUGAGAUUUUUGGACUGGAACUCUCUUGUUCAGCAAUGAACGAGAGGGACUCUGGGAAGCUAUUCUAACUGUAUCAUUUGGAGGAAGUAAAAGUCGUAACA
RNAcentral lists this ribosomal RNA (330 nucleotides) under uncultured eukaryote. RNAcentral describes it as "partial 18S ribosomal RNA". It matches the Rfam family "Eukaryotic small subunit ribosomal RNA", at positions 1470 to 1796 of the family's 1831-position model. The record is from RNAcentral.